RNAcentral lists this transfer RNA (63 nucleotides) under Cyrtanaspis phalerata. Its description in RNAcentral is "tRNA-Gly". Lineage: Eukaryota; Metazoa; Arthropoda; Insecta; Coleoptera; Scraptiidae. The record is from RNAcentral.
AUUUAUAUAGUAUAGAAAUUAUAUUUAACUUCCAAUUAGAAGACCUAUUAAUUAGUAUAAAUA